UACGAAGGGAGCUAGCGUUGUUCGGAAUCACUGGGCGUAAAGCGCACGUAGGCGGCCUUCUAAGUCGAACGUGAAAUCCCUGGGCUCAACCCAGGAACUGCGUCCGAUACUGGAAGGCUUGAAUCCGGGAGAGGGAUGCGGAAUUCCAGGUGUAGCGGUGAAAUGCGUAGAUAUCUGGAGGAACACCGGUGGCGAAGGCGGCAUCCUGGACCGGUAUUGACGCUGAGGCGCGAAAGCCAGGGGAGCAAACGGG
RNAcentral lists this ribosomal RNA (253 nucleotides) under uncultured bacterium. Its description in RNAcentral is "partial 16S ribosomal RNA". It matches the Rfam family "Bacterial small subunit ribosomal RNA", at positions 524 to 776 of the family's 1533-position model. The record is from RNAcentral.